GACGAACGCUGGCGGCGUGCUUAACACAUGCAAGUCGAACGGAAAGGCCCUGCUUUUGUGGGGUGCUCGAGUGGCGAACGGGUGAGUAACACGUGAGUAACCUGCCCUUGACUUUGGGAUAACUUCAGGAAACUGGGGCUAAUACCGGAUAGGAGCUCCUGCUGCAUGGUGGGGGUUGGAAAGUUUCGGCGGUUGGGGAUGGACUCGCGGCUUAUCAGCUUGUUGGUGGGGUAGUGGCUUACCAAGGCUUUGACGGGUAGCCGGCCUGAGAGGGUGACCGGCCACAUUGGGACUGAGAUACGGCCCAGACUCCUACGGGAGGCAGCAGUGGGGAAUAUUGCACAAUGGGCGGAAGCCUGAUGCAGCAACGCCGCGUGCGGGAUGACGGCCUUCGGGUUGUAAACCGCUUUCGCCUGUGACGAAGCGUGAGUGACGGUAAUGGGUAAAGAAGCACCGGCUAACUACGUGCCAGCAGCCGCGGUGAUACGUAGGGUGCGAGCGUUGUCCGGAUUUAUUGGGCGUAAAGGGCUCGUAGGUGGUUGAUCGCGUCGGAAGUGUAAUCUUGGGGCUUAACCCUGAGCGUGCUUUCGAUACGGGUUGACUUGAGGAAGGUAGGGGAGAAUGGAAUUCCUGGUGGAGCGGUGGAAUGCGCAGGUAUCAGGAGGAACACCAGUGGCGAAGGCGGUUCUCUGGGCCUUUCCUGACGCUGAGGAGCGAAAGCGUGGGGAGCGAACAGGCUUAGAUACCCUGGUAGUCCACGCUGUAAACGGUGGGUACUAGGUGUGGGGUCCAUUCCACGGGUUCCGUGCCGUAGCUAACGCUUUAAGUACCCCGCCUGGGGAGUACGGCCGCAAGGCUAAAACUCAAAGGAAUUGACGGGGCCCCGCACAAGCGGCGGAGCAUGCGGAUUAAUUCGAUGCAACGCGUAGAACCUUACCUGGGUUUGACAUGGAUCGGGAGCGCUCAGAGAUGGGUGUGCCUCUUUUGGGGUCGGUUCACAGGUGGUGCAUGGCUGUCGUCAGCUCGUGUCGUGAGAUGUUGGGUUAAGUCCCGCAACGAGCGCAACCCUUGUUCACUGUUGCCAGCACGUUAUGGUGGGGACUCAGUGGAGACCGCCGGGGUCAACUCGGAGGAAGGUGGGGAUGACGUCAAGUCAUCAUGCCCCUUAUGUCCAGGGCUUCACGCAUGCUACAAUGGCUGGUACAGAGAGUGGCGAGCCUGUGAGGGUGAGCGAAUCUCGGAAAGCCGGUCUCAGUUCGGAUUGGGGUCUGCAACUCGACCUCAUGAAGUCGGAGUCGCUAGUAAUCGCAGAUCAGCAACGCUGCGGUGAAUACGUUCCCGGG
Molecule: ribosomal RNA, 1343 nt
Filed under: uncultured bacterium
Lineage: Bacteria
Description: 16S ribosomal RNA
Rfam family: Bacterial small subunit ribosomal RNA
Source: RNAcentral